Molecule: ribosomal RNA, 253 nt
Filed under: uncultured bacterium
Lineage: Bacteria
Description: partial 16S ribosomal RNA
Rfam family: Bacterial small subunit ribosomal RNA
Source: RNAcentral
UACAGAGGGUGCGAGCGUUAAUCGGAAUUACUGGGCGUAAAGCGUGCGUAGACGGUUAUUUAAGUCGGGUGUGAAAGCCCCGGGCUCAACCUGGGAAUUGCAUUCGAGACUGAAUAGCUAGGGUACGGUAGAGGGAAGCGGAAUUUCCGGUGUAGCGGUGAAAUGCGUAGAUAUCGAGAGGAACAUCAGUGGCGAAGGCGGCCUUCUGGUCCAGUACUGACACUCAAGUGCGAAAGCGUGGGGAGCAAACAGG